CCUACGGGGGGCAGCAGUGGGGAAUAUUGGACAAUAGGGGCAACCCUGAUCCAGCCAUGCCGCGUGUGUGAAGAAGGCCCUCGGGUUGUAAAGCACUUUCAGUGAGGAAGAACGCCUGGUGGUUAAUACCCAUCAGGAAAGACAUCACUCACAGAAGAAGCACCGGCUAACUCCGUGCCAGCAGCCGCGGUAAUACGGAGGGUGCGAGCGUUAAUCGGAAUUACUGGGCGUAAAGCGCGCGUAGGUGGCUUGAUAAGCCGGUUGUGAAAGCCCCGGGCUCAACCUGGGAACGGCAUCCGGAACUGUCAAGCUAGAGUGCAGGAGAGGAAGGUAGAAUUCCCGGUGUAGCGGUGAAAUGCGUAGAGAUCGGGAGGAAUACCAGUGGCGAAGGCGGCCUUCUGGACUGACACUGACACUGAGGUGCGAAAGCGUGGGUAGCAAACAGGAUUAGAUACCCGGGUAGUC
RNAcentral lists this ribosomal RNA (465 nucleotides) under Vreelandella stevensii. RNAcentral's name for it is "partial 16S ribosomal RNA". It matches the Rfam family "Bacterial small subunit ribosomal RNA", at positions 338 to 795 of the family's 1533-position model. The record is from RNAcentral. Lineage: Bacteria; Pseudomonadati; Pseudomonadota; Gammaproteobacteria; Oceanospirillales; Halomonadaceae.